GAGGCUACUGCGCAAGUCAGACGCGGGGCCGCAGGGCUUGCUGGGUGUUGUAGUCCGGGUGGCCGAGCGCGAGCUGUGGAGCAUAUGUGAAUUUUGAAUAAGAACCAACCAAGCUUGAUGACCUCGGUUCAAUCUCAAGUGAGGCAUAGGUGGAAGAAGGUGCAAAUCAACUGCCACGAGUUGUCUUCUGACCACCACAUGUGGGGCCUCCACCGUGGGACGCCCGCCCCAGGAAGCAAAUAAGCAAAAGCAUUUCUGGAAAUUCCUUAAUUCAAUUUCACAGUCCUCAAGGGACUCUCAACCCAGAGUCUGGGAAACACAAGUACAGCAUUUAGCAGUCCCAGGAACUGUCUGUGGGAUGAAUUCUCAUCUAGGAAGACUUAGCACUCCAGUAGCUACAGAACCAGCGGCAUCCACACAUUGUGCUAACACUCGGUUAGCAGAGAGCUCUGUUAAAACCCAGACCUGGUCCUGACCCUCCUCCGCAACCUCUGUUUCCUCCGUGUACCUACCUGCUACCUUCGAGUUUCAGAUCCUUACGAAGCGGCCAGACCCGGGACAACCUCACUUCACCUACUCCAGCCUCAUCCUAAGACCCUGUUUCCGGUUUCCUUUGGCUCGGCUUUGACUGGCUCUUCUUGUCUCUCACGCACUUUUGAAAGUUGUGCUACCCACCUUGAGACGCUUCCCUUGGUCUCUGAGCCAAUCAUUCAGUAGCCUUUUCUCCUCUGUUACCGAGCCCCUUCCUCACCAAUUGUUGCUGCUUUGAUAGGCUUUCUAUGCACCCAGGCUACCUAUGAACUCUCUUUGUAGCCAGUUUGAAUAACGUGUUGCUCCCCUCGCCACCGCCCCUCAUAUAUUUAAAUACUUGGUCCCUAGUCAGUACAGCUGUUUGGGAAGGAUGAGGAGGUAUAAUCUUAUCAGAGGAUUGGAGAAGGUAUGUAAUGGGGGGUGAACUCUGAGGUUUCAAAACAUUUGGGCCAUCUCCCAUCUUUCUCCCCUUCUCUCUCCCUCCCUUUUCCCCUCUCUCCUCUCCCCUCCCCCACCCACAACUUUAAGGUCAAUGAGUAAGCUUUUACUAUAACAAUAACACUGUAUUCUUUAAGACAUAAACUCCAUGAAGACGAAAUCAUAUUAAACUGCCAUUCACUCAG
Non-coding RNA from Rattus norvegicus (Norway rat), 1154 nucleotides. The record is from RefSeq and is a predicted model, not a curated record. NCBI's taxonomy places the organism in Eukaryota, Metazoa, Chordata, Mammalia, Rodentia, Muridae.